Molecule: transfer RNA, 72 nt
Filed under: Camelus bactrianus (Bactrian camel)
Lineage: Eukaryota; Metazoa; Chordata; Mammalia; Artiodactyla; Camelidae
Also listed under: 2 other names
Rfam family: tRNA
About the family: Transfer RNA (tRNA) molecules are approximately 80 nucleotides in length. Their secondary structure includes four short double-helical elements and three loops (D, anti-codon, and T loops).
Source: Rfam by way of RNAcentral
GGGGGUACAGCUCGGUGGUAGAGCCUGUGCUUACAAUGUGCGAGGUCCUGGGUUCAAUUCCCAGUAAUUCCA